UAGGGAAUCUUCCGCAAUGGGCGAAAGCCUGACGGAGCAACGCCGCGUGGGUGAUGAAGGUCUUCGGAUCGUAAAACUCUGUUAUUAGGGAAGAACAAAUGUGUAAGUAACUAUGCACGUCUUGACGGUACCUAAUCAGAAAGCCACGGCUAACUACGUGCCAGCAGCCGCGGUAAUACGUAGGUGGCAAGCGUUAUCCGGAAUUAUUGGGCGUAAAGCGCGCGUAGGCGGUUUUUUAAGUCUGAUGUGAAAGCCCACGGCUCAACCGUGGAGGGUCAUUGGAAACUGGAAAACUUGAGUGCAGAAGAGGAAAGUGGAAUUCCAUGUGUAGCGGUGAAAUGCGCAGAGAUAUGGAGGAACACCAGUGGCGAAGGCGACUUUCUGGUCUGUAACUGACGCUGAUGUGCGAAAGCGUGGGGAUCAAACAGG
Molecule: ribosomal RNA, 429 nt
Filed under: Actinomycetes bacterium
Lineage: Bacteria; Bacillati; Actinomycetota; Actinomycetes
Description: Actinobacteria bacterium partial 16S ribosomal RNA
Rfam family: Bacterial small subunit ribosomal RNA
Source: RNAcentral